UACAGAGGUCUCAAGCGUUGUUCGGAUUCAUUGGGCGUAAAGGGUGCGUAGGCGGCGCGGUAAGUCGGGUGUGAAAUCUCGGAGCUUAACUCCGAAACUGCAUUCGAUACUGCCGUGCUUGAGGACUGGAGAGGAGACUGGAAUUUACGGUGUAGCGGUGAAAUGCGUAGAUAUCGGGAGGAAUACCUGUGGCGAAGGCGGCCUACUGGGCCGGACCUGACGCUGAGACGCGAAGGCGUGGGGAGCGAACGGG
Molecule: ribosomal RNA, 253 nt
Filed under: uncultured bacterium
Lineage: Bacteria
Description: partial 16S ribosomal RNA
Rfam family: Bacterial small subunit ribosomal RNA
Source: RNAcentral